This is a long non-coding RNA of Epinephelus fuscoguttatus (brown-marbled grouper), 507 nucleotides long. RefSeq lists it as uncharacterized. Lineage: Eukaryota; Metazoa; Chordata; Actinopteri; Perciformes; Serranidae. The record is from RefSeq and is a predicted model, not a curated record. The transcript is spliced from 4 exons.
GGGGCGUCCGCGUCACAGUGCGCGCGCGUAUAGAAAAGUGGUAGAAAAGAACUGUCACCGGGACAACGCGUGCGGAGACACAGUUAAGCGUACUUUUCCGACACGACAACUUUACCGGACUGUGAAAAUUAGUCACGAGCCGCGAGCCAGGCUAAAGCUAAUUGAGUUAGCUAAAAUACACUAGAGGUCUCCCAACUAUGUGCCAAAGCUACGGGGCUGGAAAGGAACUGUUUACACCAACAAUAGUCAACAAGAGAAGUCUGGCUGAUAAACAACCGAAGCACGCCCACUACUGGUCGACCACAGCCUGGAAAUGUGCGGGGAACAGGUCCAACAUGAGGGUCUCCCCCACUGUAGGCCGUGUAUACCUUACAGUCAUCAGGACACCAGACCAUGAAGACACCUGGCAUCACCAACGCCAAACUGUGGACCAUGCCACCUAAAGGAAGCCAGGAUGUCGUCAGACUGGUCCAGACAAAGUAGAUCAUCUGUGGAAUUACUGGGAAU